CUUCUCUAACCGAUACUGCAUG
RNAcentral lists this microRNA (22 nucleotides) under Bombyx mori (domestic silkworm). Its description in RNAcentral is "bmo-miR-2806". The record is from miRBase by way of RNAcentral. Lineage: Eukaryota; Metazoa; Arthropoda; Insecta; Lepidoptera; Bombycidae.